CAAUUUGCAAGGGAAUUGCAAGGGAUCUCUCGCAAUUCCCUUGCAAAUUUGCGAGGGUUUUUGAUUACCUUGCAAAUUUGCAAGAGAAUUGCGAGGAAUCCCUUGCAAUUUCCUUGCAAAAUCAUGUUUUUUCCACUUGAACGGUUUUAGGGUUUUGUUAAAGACUUUUGUUUCGUAUAACACAUUUUGUUAAAAUAUUUAGUGUUUAAAAUGUACAUUGUUAAAUAUUUUUGAAAAUACAACAUUUUAGUUAUAAAUUCAAUUCUCGACACUUGAACUAAUUACUUAAUACAAAAUAGAAACUUUAUAAUUUAUAUAUUCAAUACAUGUUAACUAAAUUACUGUACUUUGUUAAACAUAUUCAUGUAAAUAAUUUUUUGAAAAACAAAUAUCAAGAACCAUAUUAGUAUAUACAAAACAUAACAAAACUCUAAACAAAACUCUAAAACACUUUAACCAAAAAUUUGCAAGGAAAUUGCAAUGACACUCAAUUUGCAAGAGAAUUGCAAGGGAUCUCUUGCACUUUCCUUGCAAAACUAUUUUCCCCUCCAUAAAAAAAGAAAAUGACAAACGAGUUUCUAGAACUAGGGUUAGUAUAUAAAGACACAAACCUAAUUCUUUUCAUUUGUUGGAGCCGUCAAGAAAAAAAAAACAAGGGAUUUUUUUCUCCCACCAUCUCUCAUCUCUCGGGCUCUCUCUCCUCGACCUUGUGUCUUCUAGCCGGACUCUCUCUCCCGCCUCUCCUCUCUGCCGUCAUGACAUCUCUCCUUGUCGCCAGCUCUCCUCUCUCUCACACACAGCCGGAUCUACUUUAUCUCACGCCCCACACCACUAUGGUUGGAGGAAGCAAGGCACACUUCCAUGGGAGAUGAAGGAUUGAGAAGAAGCUUGAUGGUUAAGGAGACAGGGCCGGUGGUGGUGCGGCUGUGGUUGUGGUUCGGCUCUGGUGGUGGUGCGGCGGAGGAGGCAAGGAGUUGCUGAUUUAUUUUCUAGGGUUAAUUUUUUUUUUAGAAUUAGGUUAGCUUAAUUAGGUUUAGUUAAACUGGUUUAUUUAACUAAACCAGCUUAUUAUAACUUUUUAGCUUAUUAUAAUUUUUUUAGGCUUUUAAUAUAUUCAUGUAUUUAAAUAUGUAUCUGUAUGUAUAUAUAUAUUUCGGUAUAUAUAUUUAUUUACAUUUUUUUAUUUUGUAUUUUUGUUAAUUUUUUUUUAAUAUUUUUAAAAGAAUUUGCGAGGGAAACUUUUUAUUGCAAAUCUAAUGCAAUUUUGCGAGGGAAUAUUCGACUCUCGCAAAUUUGCGACGAAAAUUAUUCUCUUGCAAAUUUGCGAUGGAAAUUAUUCCGUUGCAAAUUUGCGAGAGAAUUGCAAGCGUUUUUCAUUUGCGAGUAAGGAUUUGCAAGGAAACUA
Long non-coding RNA from Raphanus sativus (radish), 1405 nucleotides. RefSeq lists it as uncharacterized. The record is from RefSeq and is a predicted model, not a curated record. The transcript has 3 exons. Lineage: Eukaryota; Viridiplantae; Streptophyta; Magnoliopsida; Brassicales; Brassicaceae.